UGUGAGUGCACCUCAUUCACAUGUGCUGAAGAAUCUGGUAAAAGCAUCAUUGUGAAGCAAAUGAGGAUCCUGCAUGUUAAUGGGUUUAAUGGAGAGGGCAGCAAAGAGGACCCACAGGCUGCAAGGAGCAACAGCGAUGGUGAGAAGACAACCAAAGAGCAGGACAUCAAAAACAACCUGAAGGAGGCCAUUGAAACCGUUGUAGCUGCCGUGAGCAACCUGGUGCCCCCUGCGGAGCUGGCCAACCCUGAGAAGCAGUUCAGAGUGGACUACAUUCUAAGUGUAAUGAACAAGCCCGACUUUGACUUUCCUCCCGAAUUCUACGAGCACACCAAGGCUCUGUGGGAGGAUGAAGGAGUGCAGGCCUGCUAUGAGCGCUCCAAUGAGUACCAGCUGAUCGACUGUGCCCAGUAGUUCCUGGACAAGAUUGAUGUCAUCAAGCAGGCUAUGUGCCAAGUGACCAGGACCUGCUUCACUCCGGCAUCCUGACUUCUGGAAUCUUUAAGACCAAGUUCCAGGUGUACAAAGUCAACUUCCACAUAUUUGACGUGGGUGGCCAGGGCAAUUGAUGAACGCCACAAGUGGAUCCAAUGCUUCAAUGAUGUGACUGCUAUCAUCUUCCUGGUGGCCAGCAGCAGCUACAACAUGGUCAUCCGGGAGGACAACCAGACCAACCGUCUGCAGGAGGCUCUUAACCUCUUCAAGAACAUUCGGAACAACAGAUGGCUGCGCACCAUCUCUGUGAUCCUGUUCCUCAACAAGCAAGAUUUGCUCGCAGAGAAAGUCCUUGCUGGAAAAUCGAAGAUUGAGGACUACUUUCCAGAGUUCACUCGCGUCUCCUGAGGAUGCUACUCCCGAGCUCGGAGAGGACCCAUGCGUGACCCAGGCCAAGUACUUCAUCCGAGAUGAGUUUCUGAGAAUCAGCACUGCCAGUGGAGAUGGGCGCCACUACUGCUACGCUCACUUCACCUGCUCUGUGGACCCUGAGAACAUCCGCCGUGUGUUCAACGACUGCAGUGACAUCAUCCAGUGCAUCUCCGUCAUUAUGAGCUGCUCUAAGAAGGGAACCCCAAAUUUAAUUAAAGCCUUAAGCACAAUUAAUGAAAAGUAAAACAUAAUUGUACAAGCAGUUAAUCACCCACAGUAGGGCAUGAUUAACAAAAGCAACCUUUCCUUUCCCGAGUGAUUCUGAAAAACCCCCUUUUCCCUUCAGCUUGCUUAGUUGUUCCAAAUUUAGAAAGCUUAAGGCAGCCUACA
This is an RNA transcript of Otolemur garnettii (small-eared galago), 1257 nucleotides long. It is a transcript of the gene named guanine nucleotide-binding protein G(s) subunit alpha pseudogene, with no coding region annotated. The record is from RefSeq and is a predicted model, not a curated record. Lineage: Eukaryota; Metazoa; Chordata; Mammalia; Primates; Galagidae. The transcript has a single exon.